UUGAACGCUGGCGGCAGGCCUAACACAUGCAAGUCGAGCGGUAGAGAGAAGCUUGCUUCUCUUGAGAGCGGCGGACGGGUGAGUAAUGCCUAGGAAUCUGCCUGGUAGUGGGGGAUAACGUUCGGAAACGGACGCUAAUACCGCAUACGUCCUACGGGAGAAAGCAGGGGACCUUCGGGCCUUGCGCUAUCAGAUGAGCCUAGGUCGGAUUAGCUAGUUGGUGGGGUAAUGGCUCACCAAGGCGACGAUCCGUAACUG
This 258-nucleotide ribosomal RNA is filed under the name Pseudomonas sp. ISO385_OTU581. RNAcentral's name for it is "partial 16S ribosomal RNA". It matches the Rfam family "Bacterial small subunit ribosomal RNA", at positions 30 to 289 of the family's 1533-position model. The record is from RNAcentral. RNAcentral also lists the same sequence under 2 other names. Lineage: Bacteria; Pseudomonadati; Pseudomonadota; Gammaproteobacteria; Pseudomonadales; Pseudomonadaceae.